Molecule: long non-coding RNA, 1135 nt
Organism: Solanum pennellii
Lineage: Eukaryota; Viridiplantae; Streptophyta; Magnoliopsida; Solanales; Solanaceae
Exons: 3
Source: RefSeq, a predicted model, not a curated record
UACCAACAAUCCUGUUCCGCAAAAAAUCAAAUUUUGCUUGGUAUUAUAACUUCAUUGGUAUUGUACUUUUUAUACUAUUGUGUUUCUUUACUAAGAUGAUUUCAUCAUAUAUGAGAAGCAUAUGUGGUACGAAUCAAGGAAGCCUCGGCCAGAAACUAGGACUCAAAAUCAAGGGGUAUAUUUGCCAAGAUGGAUUAAAGGGAUUCAUCCAUGCAUCAUUAGUGUCAAAGGUUAUCUUUUAUGGAUAAUGUUGCAGAAGAAAACAAUCCAAGAAUUUUUUAUGGAAGAUUAUUGGUAUACUAUAAUGAAAGUUUUGUUAAUUUUGUCAUGUGGACUGCAAAUCUUUCGCUGGCUCGGUCUCAGGUUCAGUAGAGACAAUUAAGGAGUCGCUUUUCAACAUAUAUCUAUAGUAAAUUGUAAAGCUAAAAGUCGAUAAAAACAUGUACCAUAGGAAAGGGGAAAAGAGAGAUUUAGUAUAGAUGUUUAGUCUAGUUUGUUGUAUAUGUAGCCUCUUGGAGUUCAACUUAUGUUUACCUCAUCUUUCAUCGUAUGUUGGCUUCUGCAGUUCAACUUAUAUAUACUUCUUUGAAAUGUCAAUAAAAUAGUCUACUUUCACAUUCUAUGUUAUUAUCUAGUUCGUAUAUUUGUUAAGCUUCAUUUCCCUUCCUCUUUGUAGUGAUUUGAUCGUGCUAAGCAGUUGAAGAGAGAUUAUAGUAGUUUCUAAAUGAACCCUUACAAUAUUUAAUUCCAUCGAACCUGCUCAAGUGUGAUUGCAAAACUAAUUUCCUUUUGUAUUGAUGUUUGACCACAUGAUGGCAGUUCAACAUCAAGGGUAGAUGGAAAGGACGUGACCGUACUUUAGCUUAAGAAAUCGUGAACUUUUUUAGAUCAUUAUUUCUUGACAAGUAUUUUUAAUAUUUUGAGAAGUCUACAAGGGUUAUCUGGAGAAACUUUACUGUAAAGGGAGGAACUUGAGAUGCAGAUGGGGAAAGGAUUCGAAGAUUUGAUGAGCUUACAUGUCCCAAAACAAAAGAUAUGAUGAGGUUAUAAUUUUGCAAAGAUUGAUGUGCAAAUUUUCAAGUUGUGUAUAAUGAAUGUAAUAACUUAUAUUGGAUGGACCAUGCUAUUUUGCUGC